Non-coding RNA from Durio zibethinus, 1829 nucleotides. The record is from RefSeq and is a predicted model, not a curated record. Lineage: Eukaryota; Viridiplantae; Streptophyta; Magnoliopsida; Malvales; Malvaceae.
UGUUUCUCAAACGGUUGUCUGAGCACGUGUCAUUCUCCGACAACGGAUGUUAAAAAACAAAAAGUCGGAUUCGGAACUCGUCGCGCGACUCUGAGAAAUCCUACGGGAUUCCGACCUAGACACCGCCACCGCUUGGCAGUGCAUGGAGACAACUUGAAGAAGAUUUAUGCGUCGUCUUAUCUGACAGAAAAGGUUUUUUGAGGGGCAAAUCCACAUUUUCCUCGAAACCCUAAAUCAACAAAAUUAAAAAGACGAACAAGGACAUAUCUGAAAAGCUUCAAGAAGAAGAAAACGGGGGAGAAAGAAGCCAAAAAAACAAGACAGGAGAGCAAUUAAAGCUGAUAAACAAGUCAAGAAAAGAGGUGGUGGCUUUGAGAAAGUGUGUGCAGUCUUUCUCCUCUGCUUCAAAAAGUAGUGGAAGAGUCUGAAUUGCCUAGAAUUGACAAAAUGUAAAGCACAAGAUGAAAUGUGAAGACAGUGAUGAUUCUGUAUCAGUAGAUACUGAAAUUACAGAGGACGAAGAGAGAGGAGGAAAAGGAGGAGGAUUGGGAGCAAAAGGGUAAUACACGUGGAAGCAAGAACGAAAAGGAUCCAUCUGAUAAGAGGAGAAUUUUACGUGAUGAUAAGCUCAAAGAACUUUUCCAGGUGGACUCCUUCACUGGCUUUUAUAUCCCAAAGCUUCUGACCAUUCAUUUCAUUAAGAUGGAACAGUCAGUUGUAUUUCUGUAUAUAACAUAAGUCCUUAAAAAAAAGGCAAUUUUGCUUGGAGAUGAAAUUAAUGUUCUUGCUGUUGUCUGGUAAUUGUUACUUUCUAACAUGUCCUAGAAAUAGAAACAGCGUCUUUAAGGAAGUUGAUUAAAACUUUCUGCUGUUUCCCUUAAUGAUAUCAUAUACCUUUUGUCCCUUUGCCCCUUUGUUUUUUCCGCCUCCGCCCCUUUGUUUUUUCCCCCACAUCUUUUUCCUCGGUUUGGUUUUUCAGAAGUUUUCUUUUUGUUUACUUUUUUAUACCCUUUGGGUUGGGUGGGACUUGGGAGGGUAGGGUUAGGAAGAGAAAAGGUGUUAGGCCGGGGUUUACCUUUUUUACAUGAUCUGCAUAGGAGGGCACCGCUUGAAGUUUUUACUUGGACAAGUAGGAAAGUGGAAAGAUGAGAUAUGGGCAUGUAGAAAGCUGGUUUGUUGUUCAUUCUGGUCUUUCAGGAACCAACAAGUUCAAAAGAACUUUCAUAGCCUGCUUGAUUGUUUUGCAACAAAAUUUUUUUCCGAGAUGUGCAUUGUGUGUUUUGUGCUAUCCAACUGGUGGGCAUUAAGCAAUUGUCGGAACAUGGAACUAGUGUGUAGUUGAUAUCAUCAAAUUGGUUUGGUAAUAUUCUUUCCUAGGGUAUGCGCUCUUGUGUUCAUAUGUAUUGUUUUCAUAUUUUUUGUAUAGCUGGAGUCAGUUACAAGUUGCAAUGUUAUGUUUGCCAGAAACAUUUCUGUGUUAGUUUGGAAUAUCACGUGGACAUCAUUGUAUUAUUCACUUUUGUUUUUGUCAUGAAGGAUGAAAGUUGAGAACCAUGAAAAUGCAUGUCCUCAUCUGUGGAUAAUGUUGGAAUCUGGCGCAAGCUCUUUAUUUAUUCAUUUAUAUUUUUUGAUCACAAAAAAAUUUAGGAGCAGGAAGGUUAUUUCAUCUCUAAUGUCAAAAUAAACCAUCAACUAACAAGGAGAUCUACGAAUCUUUUGCGACUUUUCGGGCUUACAUAAGCUCUUUAUUUUUUGUCUGUAGUUUGAAAUAAUUGCUAAAUUGACUCCAUUGAAGAUCAAUAAGUAACUUUGUAGAUAUUUCUCUUUCU